This 497-nucleotide ribosomal RNA is filed under the name uncultured bacterium. Its description in RNAcentral is "partial 16S ribosomal RNA". It matches the Rfam family "Bacterial small subunit ribosomal RNA", at positions 28 to 507 of the family's 1533-position model. The record is from RNAcentral.
GAUGAACGCUGGCGGCGUGCCUAAUACAUGCAAGUCGAGCGAACGGACGAGAAGCUUGCUUCUCUGAUGUUAGCGGCGGACGGGUGAGUAACACGUGGAUAACCUACCUAUAAGACUGGGAUAACUUCGGGAAACCGGAGCUAAUACCGGAUAAUAUUUUUAACCGCAUGGUUCAAAAGUGAAAGAUGGUCUUGCUGCCACUUAUAGAUGGAUCCGCUCUGCAUUAGCUAGUUGGGAAGGUAACGGCUUACCAAGGCAACGAUGCAUAGCGGACCUGAGAGGGGGAUCGCCCACACUGGACCUGAGACACGGCCCAGACCCCUACGGGAGGAGCCAGUAGGGAAUUUUCGGCAAUGGGCGAAAGCCUAACGGAGCAACGCCGCGUGAGUGAUGAAGGUCUUCGGUUCGUAAACCUCUGUUAUUAGGGAAGAACAUAUGUGUAAGUAACUGUGCACAUCUUGACGGUAACUAAUCAGAAAGCCACGGCUAACUACGUG